This 474-nucleotide long non-coding RNA is filed under the name Monodelphis domestica (gray short-tailed opossum). RNAcentral's name for it is "lncRNA (ENSMODG00000047220.1)". Lineage: Eukaryota; Metazoa; Chordata; Mammalia; Didelphimorphia; Didelphidae. The record is from RNAcentral.
GAUUUCUAACUUCAGUUUCUUCUGUAAAGUGGGGAUAAACCUUUGGACUGCCUAUAUGCCACUCAAGAGUAUCCUGUGGAAAACAGCACUGCGGACAAGAGAAAAAACUUGAGAGAAGUCAGAUAAAGGCAGACGGGGAUGAUGCAAGCAUCCCGCUGUGCAAUUAGAGAGCUCAGACUGGGUCAAACGUGACUUCCCUUCGUAGUUCGCUUUCCCUUUGGUAGGCUCCUCAGAUUCUACCGACUUCUGGGUAAACAUGGCUGCAAUCUAGAUGUGACUCGCUACCCCUCCCUGGCACCGAACGAAAUAGACUACCUCAAAAGAGCAUAAAAAUUACCUUUGGAAGAACAGAGGGACUCCCCAGUAACCCACAGAAAUGAAGAUCCAACACAUAAUGAGAGAAGCAAGACUACAGGGGGGAAAGAAGGGGAAAAUAUGAAUAAACAACAUAAAAAAGAACAAAGAAAUUACAAC